AUGAGCUUCGCUCAAGAGCAUAGCUCAUACCAAAACAAUUACUCACAUGGGUGGCCUGAAAACCCGAAUAUGUCAUAUAGGAGCAACAACCCUGAGAUCUCAUCGUUUGCUUCUAGUAAUCAUAUGCACGGAUUUAGGUAUGAAGAGGAGAGCAACAACUAUGCACCACAACAAUUUUAUUCACAUUCUACUCAUGUACCUCAGCACCAGGAGAUGUGUCCAACGGAGUUAAAUGGUCCUCCAUUUGGUCAACCAACACCUUCAACACAAGUGCCUACUCAAGAUGAGUUCGAUGACAUAGACAAGCUCGCACUUUGGAGUCUCGAGUUCACUUGGAGUGCCGAGGAUGAUCCUAUUAGGAAGGUCAUACUAGAUGAAAUGAAGAAGAUCAAGAGUGGGAAUGAGCUAGUGGAAGAACUAAAGAAGAUUGAGAAGAACAUCAACGCUGGCAGUACUAUUUUUUCACAGCUUGAGCUGAGUAAUUCUGGGAUUCCCCUUGAUACAUGUGAGGUUCCAAUACCGUCACAUCCAGCUGAGCAAGAUAGCAAGUGCCUUGAGCAAGAGAUACCUCAGGUUGAAGAAGAUGAACUAGAAGACAAGGAACAAGAUGAUCAAGGGCUGCAAUUCCCAAGUGAUCAAGUUGAAGACUCGUCAUCUACUACUCCUGAAGAAGUAAAAUAA
Molecule: ribosomal RNA, 681 nt
Filed under: Triticum aestivum (bread wheat)
Lineage: Eukaryota; Viridiplantae; Streptophyta; Magnoliopsida; Poales; Poaceae
Description: partial small subunit ribosomal RNA
Source: RNAcentral